AUGCACGCUGGCGGCGUGCCUAAUACCUGCAAGUCGAGCGAACGGACGAGAAGCUUGCUUCUCUGAUGUUAGCGGCGGACGGGGGAGUAACACGUGGAUAACCUACCUAUAAGACUGGGAUAACUUCGGGAAACCGGAGCUAAUACCGGAUAAUAUUUUGAACCGCAUGGUUCAAAAGUGAAAGACGGUCUUGCUGUCACUUAUAGAUGGAUCCGCGCUGCAUUGCUAGUUGGUAAGGUAACGGCUUACCAAGGCAACGAUGCAUAGCCGACCUGAGAGGGUGAUCGGCCACACUGGAACUGAGACACGGUCCAGACUCCUACGGGAGGCAGCCGUAGGGAAUCUUCCGCAAUGGGCGAAAGCCUGACGGAGCAACGCCGCGUGAGUGAUGAAGGUCUUCGGAUCGUAAAACUCUGUUAUUAGGGAAGAACAUAUGUGUAAGUAACUGUGCACAUCUUGACGGUACCUAAUCAGAAAGCCACGGCUAACUCCGUG
This 495-nucleotide ribosomal RNA is filed under the name uncultured bacterium. RNAcentral's name for it is "partial 16S ribosomal RNA". It matches the Rfam family "Bacterial small subunit ribosomal RNA", at positions 29 to 507 of the family's 1533-position model. The record is from RNAcentral.